GGGCUGGAGUGGGAGACCCAGGUCAGCGGGCAGUCCCUGGUCUCUGUCCGCGAGCAGUGGGACCUGCAGCCAGAGCCUGGACGGAGGCCCAGGCCCUCGGAGCUGCCGGUGGAGUCCCUCCUGGCCUGCUCAGAGUGAGGACCGGGUCACCUGUUCUGGGGACCCCUAAAAGCACAAGGAAAAUGGGUCCUCUGGAUGAGAGCCCGGACCCCC
Molecule: long non-coding RNA, 213 nt
Filed under: Mustela putorius furo (domestic ferret)
Lineage: Eukaryota; Metazoa; Chordata; Mammalia; Carnivora; Mustelidae
Description: lncRNA (ENSMPUG00000024613.1)
Source: RNAcentral